CUCUGAUGUAGAUAUUGAAGGGUAUGAUGAUGAGGAGGAGGAUGGGAAACCUAAGACUCCAGCCCCAGUGAGUAUGCUUAUAGAAAGCUUAUGGUUACGUUAUGCCCUUAUAUGAUAGGAGCCCCAUCAGUACAGGCCAGGCCAAAUCCUAAGAUGAUAUCAGGGGGUCUCCUUAGUGAGCCCCAAUCUGACUUUAAUCCUUGGGACCAACUAAACAGUCUAUCCACCAAAAAUAAUUACUUAACUUCUUGUGAGGCAGCAAGUGGAGGGAUGGGCGGGGCGGGGAGGGGGGGUGUGCCUGGUGGUG
This 307-nucleotide long non-coding RNA is filed under the name Homo sapiens (human). Its description in RNAcentral is "non-protein coding lnc-OGT-9:1". The record is from RNAcentral. Lineage: Eukaryota; Metazoa; Chordata; Mammalia; Primates; Hominidae.